Molecule: ribosomal RNA, 439 nt
Filed under: uncultured bacterium
Lineage: Bacteria
Description: partial 16S ribosomal RNA
Rfam family: Bacterial small subunit ribosomal RNA
Source: RNAcentral
CUACGGGUGGCACCAGUGGGGAAUAUUGGACAAUGGGCGAAAGCCUGAUCCAGCCAUGCCGCGUGAGUGAUGAAGGCCUUAGGGUUGUAAAACUCUUUCAGUAGGGAAGAUAAUGACGGUACCUACAGAAGAAGCCCCGGCUAACUUCGUGCCAGCAGCCGCGGUAAUACGAAGGGGGCUAGCGUUGUUCGGAAUCACUGGGCGUAAAGCGCGCGUAGGCGGCUUGCCAAGUCAGGGGUGAAAUCCCGGGGCUCAACCCCGGAACUGCCUUUGAAACUGGCAAGCUAGAGUCCGGUAGAGGAUGGUAGAAUUCCUAGUGUAGAGGUGAAAUUCGUAGAUAUUAGGAGGAAUACCGGUGGCGAAGGCGGCCAUCUGGACCGGCACUGACGCUGAGGUGCGAAAGCGUGGGGAGCAAACAGGAUUAGAUACCCCGGUAGUC